UGCCAGCAGCCGCGGUAAUACAGAGGUCCCAAGCGUUGUUCGGAUUCACUGGGCGUAAAGGGUGCGUAGGCGGUCGGCAAAGUCUGAUGUGAAAUCUCCGGGCUCAACCCGGAAACUGCAUCGGAUACUGGUCGGCUAGAGGAUUGGAGGGGGGAGUGGAAUUCUCGGUGUAGCAGUGAAAUGCGUAGAUAUCGAGAGGAACACCAGUGGCGAAGGCGACUCCCUGGACAAUUCCUGACGCUGAGGCACGAAAGCUAGGGGAGCAAACAGGAUUAGAUA
This 279-nucleotide ribosomal RNA is filed under the name uncultured bacterium. RNAcentral describes it as "partial 16S ribosomal RNA". It matches the Rfam family "Bacterial small subunit ribosomal RNA", at positions 506 to 784 of the family's 1533-position model. The record is from RNAcentral.